UCUUUUUGUACACUGUUGGUUAUCUGGUUCUUCUCCAGUGAUAUCCACAAUUGUUGAAAAAUCACAUUUGCUUCUACAGUGGAACCACAACUCAACCGCCUUUCAAUCUCAACAACAAAAAGAGGUAAUAGUCAGUCUCUCAAGUAUUGAAUUCUUUCACAUGUGAGAUCUGGUUUUCGAUCUGGUGCUUCUCCUUCUUCUCAUGUCUUCACUUUCCCUUUGUCACAUUCUCUAUCUUGAUUCAUUUCCACAAAGCAAAAUCACAGGCUUGAAAUUGCUUUCCCCUUCUUCUUCGGCUGGUGGGUUGUAUGUACUUAUAUUCCACAACUUUUUUCUAUUCUCGAUCAAAAUUUAAGAUUUUAAUUUUAUCAAAUCGCUCAAAUUAUUUCUGUAAUUUCUUUCUUGCUUUUGGUAUUUACUUUUAUUUAUACAAUCUCUAUUUAUGCGUAAUUAUUUUGCUACAGGUAAAAUGGUCUCCAUUUUGUGUUCCUUUUACCAUCCACUCUCUGCCCUUGAAACCGCCACGCACCCGCUCAAAUAAUACUUUUCAAAACUUGCU
Molecule: long non-coding RNA, 559 nt
Filed under: Olea europaea (common olive)
Lineage: Eukaryota; Viridiplantae; Streptophyta; Magnoliopsida; Lamiales; Oleaceae
Description: long non-coding RNA (OEUR_LNC014542)
Source: RNAcentral